AUGUUUUCUGUAGCUCUGCUGCUGCUGUUGGCAGCUGGAUCCUGUGUGAAGUGUGAACAGUUGACACAGCCAGCCUCUGUGACUGUGCAGCCAGGUCAACGUCUCACCAUCACCUGUCAGGUCUCUUAUUCUGUUAGCAGCUCUCACACACAUUGGAUCAGACAGGCUGCAGGGAAAGCACUGGAGUGGAUUGGAGCUGCACGCAUUGGAUUCACCACACUCUUAAAAGAUUCACUAAAGAACAAGUUCAGUAUCGACUUAGACUCUUCCAGCAACAGAGUGACUCUAAAUGGACAGAAUGUGCAGCCUGAAGACACUGCUGUGUAUUACUGUGCCAGAGACACACAAUAA
Molecule: non-coding RNA, 351 nt
Organism: Seriola aureovittata
Lineage: Eukaryota; Metazoa; Chordata; Actinopteri; Carangiformes; Carangidae
Source: the annotation of a RefSeq genome assembly